Molecule: ribosomal RNA, 439 nt
Filed under: uncultured bacterium
Lineage: Bacteria
Description: partial 16S ribosomal RNA
Rfam family: Bacterial small subunit ribosomal RNA
Source: RNAcentral
CUACGGGUCGCAGCAGUGAGGAAUAUUGCACAAUGGGGGAAACCCUGAUGCAGCAACGCCGCGUGGAGGAUGACGCAUUUCGGUGUGUAAACUCCUUUUAUCAGAGAAGAAAAUGACGGUAUCUGAUGAAUAAGCUCCGGCUAACUCCGUGCCAGCAGCCGCGGUAAUACGGAGGGAGCAAGCGUUAUUCGGAAUCACUGGGCGUAAAGGACGCGUAGGCGGGUUUUUAAGUCAGGUGUGAAAUCCUAUGGCUCAACCAUAGAACUGCACUUGAAACUGGGGACCUAGAGUAUGGAAGGGGCGGGUGGAAUUAGUGGUGUAGGGGUAAAAUCCGUAGAUAUCACUAGGAAUACCGAAAGCGAAGGCGACCUGCUGGGACAUUACUGACGCUGAGGCGUGAAAGCGUGGGGAGCAAACAGGGUUAGAUACCCCGGUAGUC